AUAACGGCGAAGAAGAGGACAGUAGUAAAAAGAGGAAGUUUACAGAGAAAUAAUCGGUUGGUGAGAGAUUAUGACGGAUUCUUUUUAUGAAAAUCACCUCGGAGCCGGAUGCCUGAAACAACAGUAGGGCAUCCCGCAGACAUGCGUUAUCAUGUUUUGAGUGAUAAGGUAUGCAAUAUGCCUUAUAAUCAGGGUGGUACCGCGGUUUAUUCGUCCCUAAG
Molecule: non-coding RNA, 221 nt
Filed under: Thermotalea metallivorans
Lineage: Bacteria; Bacillati; Bacillota; Clostridia; Peptostreptococcales; Thermotaleaceae
Description: T-box sequence
Rfam family: T-box leader
About the family: Uncharged tRNA acts as the effector for transcription antitermination of genes in the T-box leader family. T-boxes are found upstream of many aminoacyl-tRNA synthetase genes and some amino acid biosynthetic genes usually in Gram-positive bacteria. The anticodon of a specific tRNA base pairs to a specifier sequence within the T-box motif, and the NCCA acceptor tail of the tRNA base pairs to a conserved bulge in the T-box antiterminator hairpin.
Source: RNAcentral